GAGAUAUUAGUAAAAACAUUACAUAACUUUGUCAAGGUUAAAUUAUAAGUGAGAACCCUAUAUAUCUCU
This 69-nucleotide transfer RNA is filed under the name Dicotyles tajacu (collared peccary). Its description in RNAcentral is "Pecari tajacu (collared peccary) tRNA-Asp". Lineage: Eukaryota; Metazoa; Chordata; Mammalia; Artiodactyla; Tayassuidae. The record is from RNAcentral.